AAUAUUAAUAACUAAUACAAAUAUCUUUAAGAGAUAGUUAAGAAUAGAUUUUAGCAAAAAUUACCCUAAAAUAACAAAAAUUGAUACUCGGAAAAGAUCAAUUGUGAAUCAAGAUCAAAAUCAAAACUUGAAGCACAAAAUUAUAUACCUAUGGCAACUUUGGAGUUCUUUAGUUCAUCAAAGAAUAGGAUUUGAAAGAAAACUUGUGAAAGUAUUUUUGAGAGUUUAUUUUAUAUGAUUUAAAGAUAUAUUGAGGU
RNAcentral lists this long non-coding RNA (257 nucleotides) under Physcomitrium patens. RNAcentral describes it as "long non-coding RNA (PPAT_LNC005055)". The record is from RNAcentral. Lineage: Eukaryota; Viridiplantae; Streptophyta; Bryopsida; Funariales; Funariaceae.